AUACGGAGGAUCCGAGCGUUAUCCGGAUUUAUUGGGUUUAAAGGGUGCGCAGGCGGCCAUUUAAGUCAGCGGUUAAAUCGUGGGGCUCAACCCCAUUCUGCCGUUGAUACUGGGUGGCUUGAUUGCGGUCGAGGUUGGCGGAAUUCGUUGUGUAGCGGUGAAAUGCAUAGAUAUGACGAAGAACACCGAUUGCGUAGGCAGCUGACCAGACCGCAAAUGACGCUCAUGCACGAAAGUGCGGGGAUCGAACAGAAUUAGAUACCCCGGUAGUCCGCACAGUAAACGAUGAAUUCUUGUUUUCGGCGAUAUAAUGUCGGAGGCAAAGCGAAAGCGAUAAGUAUUCCACCUGGGGAGUACGCCGGCAACGGUGAAACUCAAAGGAAUUGACGGGG
This 392-nucleotide ribosomal RNA is filed under the name uncultured bacterium. RNAcentral describes it as "partial 16S ribosomal RNA". It matches the Rfam family "Bacterial small subunit ribosomal RNA", at positions 523 to 918 of the family's 1533-position model. The record is from RNAcentral.